CUCUGCAAGACUCCGAUUCGGCGGUCAACGGGUGCUUGGAGCUUGUGAAAGGAACCACCCAAGCUUCGGAAUCACGUGCAAUUCCCGUCAUAAAUCUUCGAGGAACACACCGCCCUCGUCCCAUUUCCACAAAGCAGGCGUCGGUCAUGCACAGUGGCAUCUUCCGAUGGUAGCAAUCUCCUCCCAUUGGGUCGGAAGCAACGAGGGAGCUUCCCUUCUCCACGUAUAAAUUCCAACCUCCGCUGGCAGUAACACAGCAAGCAAACAACAUCUCCUCCUUGUGUCUCGAUCUCGAGAGAGAGAGAAGUGGUGUUUAGCAUGGGAGGAGGAAGCAAAUCCUUGAUCACCUUCCUCGGCUUCAAGGGGGCUGCAAGCCGUUCCCGGAAGAGUCACGAGGCUGAGCCGAAACCGACGCAGGAUUCCAGAAGGAGCUACUGAUAGAAAUAAUAGAAGAUAAGAACAAUAUAAUAUAAGAAGCUUUAUUGAAGUAGAUAAACUUUAGUUUGAAUACAUUAACAUGUUCCUCUCCUGAUUAAGAGGAAGGAUUUUCCUCAACAGAAUAGAGGAUUUUCCUCAACAGAAUAGAUAAGAUUUCCUUAUAUAGUGGGGAAAUCUGAUCUUCUAUCAUGCCCCCGCAAGAUGGAAGAUGGUGCUCCUGACAAGGAUACCAAUCUUGGAUCGGUAAGAAAGAGGCUUCGUGAAGAUCGCUGCUGCUGUUGCUGCGAUUGCUGUUGCUGUGAUGGCACAAGCGUUCCCUUCAUUCUUCUUAAGUCUGUCGAAUGUUGACAGAUCAGCGAAGACUACCGCGACGAGGAAGAUGAGGAUUGACCACGGAGCCUCUUAGGAAUGCAACGGCGUUGGUCGCUGGCCGAAGGGUGAAGCUUCACUUUUCUCAGCGACAUUGGUCACUUGCCGAAGGCAAGAGCGAAGCUUCGCUUUUCUCAACGACGUUGGUCGUGGUUGCGAUUACGACGGCUGCGACGGUAGAGAAGAAAUCUACAACAAUGUUGCAGUGAUGCUACUACAGCAAAGGAGGAAACUGCAACAGAGGAGGAAGCUGUAGUAGAAGAGGAAACUGUAGCAGAAGAGAAAGGAAAAUAGCUACAACGACGAAGAAAGGUGGGGCAGUGCUCAUGAGCAGCACUAGAGAUGCCGUAGCGGAAGGGAACGGACGUUGGCGCAGAGUGGCAACACCAAUGAUGAAUUGGCAGCGAGAAGAGAGCUUGCUCUAGGCAAGCGGCUCUGAUACCAUGAUAGAAAUAAUAGAAGAUAAGAACAAUAUAAUAUAUUCCUCUCCUAUUUAUAGGAUUAAGAGGAAGGAUUUUCCUCAACAGAAAAGAGGAUUUUCCUCAACAGAAUAGAUAAGAUUUCCUUAUAUAGUGGGGAAAUCUGAUCUUCUAUCAGCUACGAGGCAGACGCAGAAGCAAAGCAGCCGCGGACGAAGGUUCGCCGGAGCGACGACGACCUCGGUGGCUCUUGGAUUGCGGAGCCUGACAUAGACAGGAAAGCGGAAGAGUUCAUCGUCAGGGUCCACCGCCGGAUGAACCCGGAGCUGCACCUGGUCGCGGUGUAACCCUCCAUAACGUUGUCUCUUCUCCGAGAUCUAUCUAUUACGUACAAGAACCUGGUUCAAUAGCAACAAUGAAAUCGACUAGUUCUCAGUUUGUAGAACUUAUAGGGAUAAUUAUACCCAUAUUUUCUUCCAAAAUAAUGAUAAUAAAGAGAAAUGUGUUCAUAUUUAUCUGUCCAUAGCCUAAAGAGGAAGAAAGAAAGUAGUCUACCUUGAAUGAUUCCUCCUCGGCAAGGUGUGAAGAAGAGUGAGUUCUU
RNAcentral lists this long non-coding RNA (1827 nucleotides) under Musa acuminata (dwarf banana). RNAcentral's name for it is "long non-coding RNA (MACU_LNC002935)". The record is from RNAcentral. Lineage: Eukaryota; Viridiplantae; Streptophyta; Magnoliopsida; Zingiberales; Musaceae.